Molecule: RNA transcript, 2686 nt
Organism: Indicator indicator
Lineage: Eukaryota; Metazoa; Chordata; Aves; Piciformes; Indicatoridae
Gene: FBXO22
Gene name: F-box protein 22
Exons: 4
Source: RefSeq, a predicted model, not a curated record
UGUAAUGAAAUAAUACAUACCUAGUAUUUGUGUGAGUUUUCUUUAUACUGUCAUCAUGUGCUUGUAUAACAUCUUUCUCCAUUUCAUUUGUGGUCCUUAAAAAUCUGAGUAUGUUUGUCUGCUCGUGGAAGCUGACAGGAGGGCUUGAGCCAGCUGUAUUGUACAGUGCUUGUUUUCCAACUGAUUGGUGCAGCUGCAAGGAAGUGUCCAAAUACAUCUAGAUGUGCUUGCCUAAAGUGAUUUCAGCAUUACCUAUAGCCAGCAGGACCUCUGCGUGCCUAAUUUUACCAAAACAUCAGCACAAAACCUACUGGUUUUCAAUUACAUACAGUGUUGUGGAAAUUAGCUACCAUGUUUUACUUAAGAUAUUCUGUCUCUUUUUUAAUCUACGUUAUGGUGUAGAUGGACGUAUUGGAAAAAAACGAAUACAAAAUGUUUGUUUUUGUAUCUCUGUAGUUACCCCUAUGGGUUCAAGCAGCAAUCAACCUCAAGAAAUUGAAGAGGGCGAAGCUGGGUUUGCUCUGUUAUUUCCCAAAAUCGAUGGGGUGAAAAUUCAUACUUUCCAUUUUUCUAAAGACUCAAAAAACAGGGUCUUCGAUGAAAGUAAAUUUGCUGAAGCAGUGUUUGUGGUGCUGUUCCUAGGUCUGAAGAAUAACCCAGAUCUUCGGGUGGUUCUUCUGUUCGGAUACAACUCCUGGAAGUCUGGAGCAACUCGAUUUCUCCACCAAAUAGUCAAUCCUUUGAACGAGAAAAGUAUCAUCCUGGCUGGGGGACAAGUGGAGAGCUUUACAUCACUGACCUCUGAGAACAGCAGUGCCCAGCCUGGUGAUGCCUGCGGUGUGGUUGGGCUGGCCUUUAGCGGCCCCCAGAUUCAGAGUGCCACUGUUCUGUUGGACCAGGAUGUUGCUGACGAGAGGACAGCAGAAGCCGCCAUGCAACGUCUCAAAGCAGCAAACAUCCCUGAGCACAACACCAUUGGCUUUAUGUUCGCCUGUGUUGGCAGAGGAUACCGCCAUUAUAAAACCAAAAGGAAUAUGGAAGCAGAUGCAUUUAGAAAGUUUUUUCCAAACGUUCCUCUCUUUGGUUUUUUUGGACAUGGGGAAAUAGGAUGCGACCGAAUAGUUACUGGGAAUUUUGUAUUAAGAGAAUGUAAUGACAUCAAGGAUGACCUGCUUCAUGGUUAUACUACAGUUAUGACUCUUAUUCAUCUUGGUUCAACUAAAGUGAACCAAGUGUAAAUACAUUUUUAAUGCUUUAGUAAGCUGUUUCUUUCAUUCCAGAAAGCUGAGAAGUCUGGAAGAGUGGACACAUUGCAGUUAAAGCCCCUUCCAAAAUGUAAACAUCAUUUUGGUGAUAUUACUGAACAUUGUAGUUGGAAUAGAGUUUAACACCAUAGCAGCAAGAAAGCUUUGUCUUCUGUGUAACCCCCUCUGUGUGUCAGAAUUGCAGAGCUGUUAAACAAGACUUGUGCUUUAGAGUGUUUUCCUGUGCUUUUACAUCAGCCACCUGUUUGGAUAGCUGCAGCUGGAAUGCAGUGUACUGGAAGUUCAAGUAAGUAAAUUCAGGUUAGUGUUAGUAUAGCUAAUAAUAUAUUUGUUCCCUUUUAAAUUCAUUUCUCCGUUUUAUUUUCACUUGUACAAGAAAAUAAGAUAAGUUUUGCACCAUUUCACCACAGUUCUAAGUGUUACAUCAGUCAGCUGGUCUGGUGUUAGAUGUACCCAUCAGGGCUGUAGCUGGCAAUGUUUUGCCCUUGUCUAGGUAAAACUUUUCCUGAACUUGGAACCAGCAAGCUAAAGUAAAGAUGUAUUUGUUCUUGCAGUUUACUGCUGGUUUCAGUGGGUGCUGAGCACAGGCAGCACUUUCCCAUGGCUGUGUUGACAAUGUUGUUGUUGUUUUGUGUUUUUUUUAACUAGAGAGAAGAUGAGCUGUGAACUCCCAGUGGCCUUCUAGGGAUAGUGAUGUGACUUCAAACGUAGUUGCUGCAUUUAGAAGGAAAAGUGUUUGGAAAUGGAAUAUGCUUGAAUUUUGGGAGAAGCCUUUUAAUGGGAAGGGAAUACAUGUUUUUUUUUAGCAUUACAGAAUGUUGUGCUUGGCCCUUUCUGUCUGCAUAAGUGAUGUGUUUAACAGGAGGUGAGGAGCAAAUUUGAUUUCUCGUACACAGACAGGAUUCUUGUGACUGUUAGCAUGAGUUAGGGCUAGCCUGCAUAGCUACUGGCACAAGCCUAUGAGCUUUGACUUUUUGCUGUAGUAGAAGCAGAUGAAGUGUGACCAACCAUGUACUGAACAACAGUGCAAAUGUGUCCCGAAGCAUCUGAAGAAGCAGAUGGUGAGUUCUGGCGAUGGCUCAGCAGAACAGGAGAUGAGGUUGUGGUUGUAAGAGGCUAAUGAUCAAUGAAGUCCUGUUGCUGCGGACCCUUAAGUGAUAGACACAGUACAGAAAGGAUGCCGGGGGACGGGACCCCCAAAGUCUGCACAAGAGUCCAGAAUCAUCCCUUUGACCUUCGGAAGUGGGGAUGACUCCAAGGGAUCCCAGAACCAUGCAGUGCAUGGCUGGCAGUGCUGUGCUGUGCCAUCCAUGCCAUAUUUUCUAACUGACAAGGAAGUAGGGUAAUGGAUAAAAUUGCAACAUCUGUGAUUAAAGUGUUUUGGUGUCCAGAUUCAUUUUGCCUCCACAGUGUCAUUUGCU